RNAcentral lists this ribosomal RNA (2890 nucleotides) under Escherichia coli. Its description in RNAcentral is "partial 23S ribosomal RNA". It matches the Rfam family "Bacterial large subunit ribosomal RNA". Lineage: Bacteria; Pseudomonadati; Pseudomonadota; Gammaproteobacteria; Enterobacterales; Enterobacteriaceae. The record is from RNAcentral.
GGUUAAGCGACUAAGCGUACACGGUGGAUGCCCUGGCAGUCAGAGGCGAUGAAGGACGUGCUAAUCUGCGAUAAGCGUCGGUAAGGUGAUAUGAACCGUUAUAACCGGCGAUUUCCGAAUGGGGAAACCCAGUGUGAUUCGUCACACUAUCAUUAACUGAAUCCAUAGGUUAAUGAGGCGAACCGGGGGAACUGAAACAUCUAAGUACCCCGAGGAAAAGAAAUCAACCGAGAUUCCCCCAGUAGCGGCGAGCGAACGGGGAGCAGCCCAGAGCCUGAAUCAGUGUGUGUGUUAGUGGAAGCGUCUGGAAAGGCGCGCGAUACAGGGUGACAGCCCCGUACACAAAAAUGCACAUACUGUGAGCUCGAUGAGUAGGGCGGGACACGUGGUAUCCUGUCUGAAUAUGGGGGGACCAUCCUCCAAGGCUAAAUACUCCUGACUGACCGAUAGUGAACCAGUACCGUGAGGGAAAGGCGAAAAGAACCCCGGCGAGGGGAGUGAAAAAGAACCUGAAACCGUGUACGUACAAGCAGUGGGAGCCUCUUUAUGGGGUGACUGCGUACCUUUUGUAUAAUGGGUCAGCGACUUAUAUUCUGUAGCAAGGUUAACCGAAUAGGGGAGCCGAAGGGAAACCGAGUCUUAACUGGGCGUUAAGUUGCAGGGUAUAGACCCGAAACCCGGUGAUCUAGCCAUGGGCAGGUUGAAGGUUGGGUAACACUAACUGGAGGACCGAACCGACUAAUGUUGAAAAAUUAGCGGAUGACUUGUGGCUGGGGGUGAAAGGCCAAUCAAACCGGGAGAUAGCUGGUUCUCCCCGAAAGCUAUUUAGGUAGCGCCUCGUGAAUUCAUCUCCGGGGGUAGAGCACUGUUUCGGCAAGGGGGUCAUCCCGACUUACCAACCCGAUGCAAACUGCGAAUACCGGAGAAUGUUAUCACGGGAGACACACGGCGGGUGCUAACGUCCGUCGUGAAGAGGGAAACAACCCAGACCGCCAGCUAAGGUCCCAAAGUCAUGGUUAAGUGGGAAACGAUGUGGGAAGGCCCAGACAGCCAGGAUGUUGGCUUAGAAGCAGCCAUCAUUUAAAGAAAGCGUAAUAGCUCACUGGUCGAGUCGGCCUGCGCGGAAGAUGUAACGGGGCUAAACCAUGCACCGAAGCUGCGGCAGCGACACUAUGUGUUGUUGGGUAGGGGAGCGUUCUGUAAGCCUGUGAAGGUGUACUGUGAGGUAUGCUGGAGGUAUCAGAAGUGCGAAUGCUGACAUAAGUAACGAUAAAGCGGGUGAAAAGCCCGCUCGCCGGAAGACCAAGGGUUCCUGUCCAACGUUAAUCGGGGCAGGGUGAGUCGACCCCUAAGGCGAGGCCGAAAGGCGUAGUCGAUGGGAAACAGGUUAAUAUUCCUGUACUUGGUGUUAUNNNNNNNNNNNNNNNNNNNNNNNNNNNNNNNNNNNNNNNNNNNNNNNNNNNNNNNNNNNNNNNNNNNNNNNNNNNNNNNNNNNNNNNNNNNNNNNNNACUGCGAAGGGGGGACGGAGAAGGCUAUGUUGGCCGGGCGACGGUUGUCCCGGUUUAAGCGUGUAGGCUGGUUUUCCAGGCAAAUCCGGAAAAUCAAGGCUGAGGCGUGAUGACGAGGCACUACGGUGCUGAAGCAACAAAUGCCCUGCUUCCAGGAAAAGCCUCUAAGCAUCAGGUAACAUCAAAUCGUACCCCAAACCGACACAGGUGGUCAGGUAGAGAAUACCAAGGCGCUUGAGAGAACUCGGGUGAAGGAACUAGGCAAAAUGGUGCCGUAACUUCGGGAGAAGGCACGCUGAUAUGUAGGUGAAGCGACUUGCUCGUGGAGCUGAAAUCAGUCGAAGAUACCAGCUGGCUGCAACUGUUUAUUAAAAACACAGCACUGUGCAAACACGAAAGUGGACGUAUACGGUGUGACGCCUGCCCGGUGCCGGAAGGUUAAUUGAUGGGGUUAGCGCAAGCGAAGCUCUUGAUCGAAGCCCCGGUAAACGGCGGCCGUAACUAUAACGGUCCUAAGGUAGCGAAAUUCCUUGUCGGGUAAGUUCCGACCUGCACGAAUGGCGUAAUGAUGGCCAGGCUGUCUCCACCCGAGACUCAGUGAAAUUGAACUCGCUGUGAAGAUGCAGUGUACCCGCGGCAAGACGGAAAGACCCCGUGAACCUUUACUAUAGCUUGACACUGAACAUUGAGCCUUGAUGUGUAGGAUAGGUGGGAGGCUUUGAAGUGUGGACGCCAGUCUGCAUGGAGCCGACCUUGAAAUACCACCCUUUAAUGUUUGAUGUUCUAACGUUGGCCCCUGAUCGGGGUUGCGGACAGUGUCUGGUGGGUAGUUUGACUGGGGCGGUCUCCUCCUAAAGAGUAACGGAGGAGCACGAAGGUUGGCUAAUCCUGGUCGGACAUCAGGAGGUUAGUGCAAUGGCAUAAGCCAGCUUGACUGCGAGCGUGACGGCGCGAGCAGGUGCGAAAGCAGGUCAUAGUGAUCCGGUGGUUCUGAAUGGAAGGGCCAUCGCUCAACGGAUAAAAGGUACUCCGGGGAUAACAGGCUGAUACCGCCCAAGAGUUCAUAUCGACGGCGGUGUUUGGCACCUCGAUGUCGGCUCAUCACAUCCUGGGGCUGAAGUAGGUCCCAAGGGUAUGGCUGUUCGCCAUUUAAAGUGGUACGCGAGCUGGGUUUAGAACGUCGUGAGACAGUUCGGUCCCUAUCUGCCGUGGGCGCUGGAGAACUGAGGGGGGCUGCUCCUAGUACGAGAGGACCGGAGUGGACGCAUCACUGGUGUUCGGGUUGUCAUGCCAAUGGCACUGCCCGGUAGCUAAAUGCGGAAGAGAUAAGUGCUGAAAGCAUCUAAGCACGAAACUUGCCCCGAGAUGAGUUCUCCCUGAC